Non-coding RNA from Misgurnus anguillicaudatus (oriental weatherfish), 285 nucleotides. Lineage: Eukaryota; Metazoa; Chordata; Actinopteri; Cypriniformes; Cobitidae. The record is from RefSeq and is a predicted model, not a curated record.
UCUUCACUGUAGACAAUGUAAGUCAAGCAGCUGAUCUCACUUAUGCUGAUAUUGAACUGAAACCUAAGAAAGAAAUGAAGAAAAAGAAAGAGAAGAAAGGGAAUAGCAGUGAAGAUGGUGACACUGUUUACUCUAAAGUGAAGAUAGGAGAUAAAGAUGUGGCUUCUAGAUCGGUUGAUGUGACUUAUGCUCAGAUUACAUAAAAGCCCAAAGGAGAAAAAGAUGGCAGUACAUUAAUGAAUGGUUAAAGGAAAACCAUCGUUUUUCAAUAUUUUACUAGGUCCU